CCGUAUUGGGCGUAUCCCCGUAUCGCGUAUCCAAUACGUAUCCAAGUAUCCGUGCAACAUAGUCUAUGUCCAAAGAAAUGGUAAUAUAUCAUGUGGACUUACAUCUUAAAUAAUGUGUACAUCAGUGUGGAUUCACUAGCUUUAAUUAUUCUUGCUUGUAUCAUGUGUAUGUCACUUUGCAUUAUAAGUAUCACAAAUAGUUGACUAAAGAUUGAUUCAUGUUGUUCCUCCACUCUUUUAGACAAUGCUAUCUAUGUUCAUUGCCUGCCUUUUUGAACUAGUGUUGACAUUGCAUAGGUCACUGUUGAUUCACUGCCUUCUUUUGCUUGACUUGUUUGACCCAGGUACCUAAAGGUUGUACCAUGCCAAAAAUGAAAACGCAAAACUGAGAAGUUGUCGAGCAUCACCAAAAGACUGGAUCUAGGUCUUAUGUUUCCACUUUUAGUAAAAUUAAAAAAGCAAGUAUAAUAAUCAGGACCCAAGUCCCAUUGAGUAUUUCAAAGAGACCCAUACGAACAGCAAGACUGGCAGCAUGAGCGAGCCGGCACAUCUAGCCUAUAAUGCGACUAAAAAGAAAAGGGAAACACAAUCAGAAGGUGAGCAACCAGUGUCUGAUUCAAUGAUUGUGGCUGAAGUUCUAAAGGAAGAAAGCACCCAGAGCACCUUCCUUUCCAGCAUGAGUUAUGCAUCAAGAUCCGAGAGAUCUGGGACCUUUACUUCAUCAGCAUAGAUCUGAGUUCUAGAAUAAAGAAUUGAACAAAAGGAUGGCGAUGCGAGAGAUGCAAGGGACAGGCACCGAUAGGAGUUAGUGGUGAGACUUGAAGCACAAGAGAGAGCAUUUGAAGAGAUGUAGAGGAAGCAACACGAAGAAUUCAAAGAUGUGAAGAAGAUCCAGCAAGAGAAGAAUGAAGCUUGGCAAAAGAAGCAACAAGAGACGGAUAACCUGAUUGGUUUUCUCUUAAGUGCUCAAGCAACUCAGAAGUCCCAAUCCAAACCUAAUGGUGCAUGAAGGCCAUCCUUUUGCAAUGGAAAGAUAGUUGUUGAAUCAUAUAUUGCAAUCAUCAGGAUAACACAUGUAGUCUUUACUUAUCUAAAUAUUGGUUUUCAACUUGUCUAUUGUUGUCUCAAACUCAUGAGCUAGUGUUAUUUUUACUAUCAUUUAUGUUGAUAGGACGAUUGAGCUGA
Long non-coding RNA from Triticum dicoccoides, 1185 nucleotides. RefSeq lists it as uncharacterized. The transcript has 4 exons. The record is from RefSeq and is a predicted model, not a curated record. Lineage: Eukaryota; Viridiplantae; Streptophyta; Magnoliopsida; Poales; Poaceae.